ACGCUCGACACCUACGGAGAGGCAGCAGUGGGGAAUAUUGCACAAUGGGGGAAACCCUGAUGCAGCGACGCCGCGUGAGCGAAGAAGUAUUUCGGUAUGUAAAGCUCUAUCAGCAGGGAAGAAAAUGACGGUACCUGACUAAGAAGCCCCGGCUAACUACGUGUCAGCAGCCGCGGUAAUCUGAGCGGGCUGGCAAGGC
Molecule: ribosomal RNA, 199 nt
Filed under: uncultured bacterium
Lineage: Bacteria
Description: partial 16S ribosomal RNA
Rfam family: Bacterial small subunit ribosomal RNA
Source: RNAcentral